CCUACGGGAGGCAGCAGUAGGGAAUCUUUCACAAUGCGCGAAAGCCUGAUGGAGCAACGCCGCGUGCAGGAUGAAGGCCUUCGGGUUGUAAACUGCUUUUAUAAGCGAGAAAUAUGAUGGUAACUUAUGAAUAAGGAUCGGCUAACUACGUGCCAGCAGCCGCGGUCAUACGUCAGUUCCGAGCAUUAUCCGGAGUGACUGGGUGUAAAGAGUUGCGUAGGUUGCAUAGUAAGUAGCUAGUGAAAUCGGGUGGCUCAACCAUUCAGACUAUUAGCUAAACUGCUAAGCUCGAGACCGUUAGGGGUAACGGGAAUGUCUAGGGUAGGUGUGAAAUCCGUAGAUAUUAGAAGGAACACCGAUAGGGUAGGCAGGUUACUGGGACGGUUCUGACACUAAGGCACGAAAGCGGAGGGAGCAAACGGGAUUAGAUACCCUUGUAGUC
RNAcentral lists this ribosomal RNA (442 nucleotides) under uncultured bacterium. RNAcentral's name for it is "partial 16S ribosomal RNA". It matches the Rfam family "Bacterial small subunit ribosomal RNA", at positions 338 to 795 of the family's 1533-position model. The record is from RNAcentral.